Molecule: long non-coding RNA, 579 nt
Organism: Mustela erminea (ermine)
Lineage: Eukaryota; Metazoa; Chordata; Mammalia; Carnivora; Mustelidae
Exons: 3
Source: RefSeq, a predicted model, not a curated record
GCCUCGAUCUCCAUAGAGACAAGAAGUUUUGGCAAGAUCUGAUUCUUUGGUCCUCAUAUGCUGGGCUCUGACAGCUCAGCCAUGGAGAGGUGCUGCUUAAACUAAGUCACUUUAAGCAACCAUUCAACAUACUUAUGCAAUCAGGUCAAAUCUGUCUCUAAGGAAGAGAAGACAACUGCUGGCUGCACUGAUAACUCUUGAACCGGGAUAGCGCACGUCUCGCUGAGAUCCCCAGAAGCCAGCUCUGAGCAACUCCUCACAUUUGCCCUUUGACUAAUUAAAGGUAAAUGGCAGUUGUCUCUCUACCAGAUUGUUUGAGAGCUACUAACUAGUUUUGGUUGAAUUCUUUAGCAGAAGAUGGAAAGAAAGGGGCUGGAAGCAGAAGAGAGAAGAAAUGCAAGACGGAGAACAGAGAGGGACCUUUUGUGAGUCAUUAGGCAACACACACCAGAGCAGCUAGAGUGGAGCCACCAAUCUCGUUUCCCAGAAACUAAACAAGCUACCACAGCUUCGAACUGUGUCUGGACUGCUGAAGCAUCCUCUGCCAACCAUCCUGUUCAAAAUAGCGACACAUCCCAG